RNAcentral lists this ribosomal RNA (403 nucleotides) under uncultured bacterium. RNAcentral describes it as "partial 16S ribosomal RNA". It matches the Rfam family "Bacterial small subunit ribosomal RNA", at positions 28 to 526 of the family's 1533-position model. The record is from RNAcentral.
GACGAACGCUGGCGGCGUGCCUAAUACAUGCAAGUCGAACGCAGUGGGGACGGCUGAGUAACCCGUGGGUAACCUCCCAUCAGAGGGGAUAACACUUGGAAACAGGUGCUAAACCGAUAUUGAUGGCUGGACUCGCUGUGCAGUAGCUAGUUGGCGAGGUAACGGCUCACCAAGGCCACGAGGCAUAGAGGACAGGAGAGGGUGAUCGGACACACUGAGACGGAGACACGGUCCAGACUCCUACGGGAGGCAGCAGUAGGGAAUCUUCGGCAAUGGACGAAAGUCUGACGGAGCAACGCCGCGUGAGUGAAGAAGGUUUUCGGAUCGUAAAACUCUGUUGUUAGAGAAGCGGUAUCUAACCAGAAAGCCACGGCUAACUACGUGCCAGCAGCCGCGGUAAUAC